Molecule: ribosomal RNA, 1341 nt
Filed under: uncultured bacterium
Lineage: Bacteria
Description: partial 16S ribosomal RNA
Rfam family: Bacterial small subunit ribosomal RNA
Source: RNAcentral
GACGAACGCUGGCGGCGUGCUUAACACAUGCAAGUCGAACGGUAAGGCUCCAGCUUGCUGGGGUACACGAGUGGCGAACGGGUGAGUAACACGUGGGUGACCUGCCCUGCACUUCGGGAUAAGCCUGGGAAACUGGGUCUAAUACCGGAUAGGACCGCACCGUGAGGGUGUGGUGGAAAGUUUUUUCGGUGUGGGAUGGGCCCGCGGCCUAUCAGCUUGUUGGUGGGGUAAUGGCCUACCAAGGCGGCGACGGGUAGCCGGCCUGAGAGGGUGGACGGCCACAUUGGGACUGAGACACGGCCCAGACUCCUACGGGAGGCAGCAGUGGGGAAUAUUGCACAAUGGGCGGAAGCCUGAUGCAGCGACGCCGCGUGGGGGAUGACGGCCUUCGGGUUGUAAACUCCUUUCACCAUCGACGAAGGGUUUCUGACGGUAGAUGGAGAAGAAGCACCGGCUAACUACGUGCCAGCAGCCGCGGUAAUACGUAGGGUGUGAGCGUUGUCCGGAAUUAUUGGGCGUAAAGAGCUCGUAGGUGGUUUGUCGCGUCGUCUGUGAAAUUCCGGGGCUUAACUCCGGGCGUGCAGGCGAUACGGGCAUAACUUGAGUACUGUAGGGGAGACUGGAAUUCCUGGUGUAGCGGUGAAAUGCGCAGAUAUCAGGAGGAACACCGGUGGCGAAGGCGGGUCUCUGGGCAGUAACUGACGCUGAGGAGCGAAAGCAUGGGGAGCGAACAGGAUUAGAUACCCUGGUAGUCCAUGCCGUAAACGGUGGGCGCUAGGUGUGGGUUUCCUUCCACGGGAUCCGUGCCGUAGCUAACGCAUUAAGCGCCCCGCCUGGGGAGUACGGCCGCAAGGCUAAAACUCAAAGGAAUUGACGGGGGCCCGCACAAGCGGCGGAGCAUGUGGAUUAAUUCGAUGCAACGCGAAGAACCUUACCUGGGCUUGACAUAUACAGGAUCGCGCCAGAGAUGGUGUUUCCCUUGUGGCUUGUAUACAGGUGGUGCAUGGUUGUCGUCAGCUCGUGUCGUGAGAUGUUGGGUUAAGUCCCGCAACGAGCGCAACCCUUGUCUUAUGUUGCCAGCACGUUGUGGUGGGGACUCGUAAGAAACUGCCGGGGUUAACUCGGAGGAAGGUGGGGAUGACGUCAAAUCAUCAUGCCCCUUAUGUCCAGGGCUUCACACAUGCUACAAUGGUCGGUACAGUGGGUUGCCAGUCCGUGAGGGCGAGCUAAUCCCGCAAAGCCGGUCUCAGUUCGGAUCGGGGUCUGCAACUCGACCCCGUGAAGUCGGAGUCGCUAGUAAUCGCAGAUCAGCAACGCUGCGGUGAAUACGUUCCCGGGCCU